GAAAAUUCAGAUCUUUCUGUGCUUUCUUUUUCAGUUUUGUAUGGAUUUUCUCCUGCUGUGUGCCUCUGUGAAUGAGGAUGGCAAGACCUGUAUGUGCAGGCACUUUAUGUAAUGCAUAAUUAUAUGGGUCAUCACAUGUUACUCCAGCAGAGUUACAGAAUGAAAGUGGAAGUAGCUUCUUUCAAUACAAAAGUCUAUGAAAACUGGACUUCCUUUCUAUAUGUUAUAUGGCACAAAAGACUGUUUUAGCUGAGUGGAAUGGUGCUUUCACUGUAUUGUACUGCUAUCAUGCAGUCUGGCUUAGUUCAUUUCAUAAUGGAGAGCCAUGAAUAAAUGGGUUGAAAACAAUGACUUUGGGCAUUAUGUCCCUUAGGAUUACAGACACUGCUAUAUGUUCACCUGGUUUUGUUGUGAGCUAAUGCUCACCUGUUUGGAGCUUCUUCCUGACAGUCUUGGACAUUUUCAUGGCUAGAGAAUUAUUCUACAUCAAUUAAUCUUGGUGAUUUGGAUUGAUGCUCCUCAGGACAAAGGCAGCAGGGCAGAAUUUGUCUGGCAUUUUUUCAUCUGUGUAAGGUAAAAAAAAACUUGUAAAUGUUCUGAGUUUUGCAAUAUUACUGCCUUUUCAAGUAUAAUUUCACCCUCUCCAUGGAACCAGACAUGGAGUUUUAAGAUUAUUUUUUUCAGUUAACUGAUAAAGUGUAUUUCAAAUUAUUUAAUAGUGAGUAAAACUUUAUUGUUCUCACCUAAAGAAGGAAGGAAGUAAAAUUAUCCAAAUUUUAUAGGAGAU
Non-coding RNA from Anas platyrhynchos (mallard), 787 nucleotides. NCBI's taxonomy places the organism in Eukaryota, Metazoa, Chordata, Aves, Anseriformes, Anatidae. The record is from RefSeq and is a predicted model, not a curated record.